GCGUGAGUAACCUGCCUUCAAGAGGGGGAUAACAUUCUGAAAAGAAUGCUAAUACCGCAUGAUAUAUCGGAACCACAUGGUUCUGAUAUCAAAGAUUUUAUCGCUUGAAGAUGGACUCGCGUCCGAUUAGUUAGUUGGUGAGGUAAUGGCUCACCUAGGCGACGAUACAUAGCCGACCUGAGAGGGUGAUCGGCCACACUGGGACUGAGACACGGCCCAGACUCCUACGGGAGGCAGCAUG
Molecule: ribosomal RNA, 241 nt
Filed under: uncultured bacterium
Lineage: Bacteria
Description: partial 16S ribosomal RNA
Rfam family: Bacterial small subunit ribosomal RNA
Source: RNAcentral